UGGGGAAUAUUGGACAAUGGGCGCAAGCCUGAUCCAGCCAUGCCGCGUGAGUGAUGAAGGCCAUAGGGGUGUAAAGAUCGUUCACCGGGGAAGAGAAUGACGGUAACCGGAGAAGAAGCCCCGGAGAAGUUCGUGCCAGCAGCCGCGGUAAUACGAAGGGGGCUAGCGUUGUUCGGAUUUACUGGGCGUAAAGCGCACGUAGGCGGACUAUUAAGUCAGGGGUGAAAUCCCGGGGCUCAACCCCGGAACUGCCUUUGAUACUGGUAGUCUUGAGUUCGAGAGAGGUGAGUGGAAUUCCGAGUGUAGAGGUGAAAUUCGUAGAUAUUCGGAGGAACACCAGUGGCGAAGGCGGCUCACUGGCUCGAUACUGACGCUGAGGUGCGAAAGCGUGGGGAGCAAACAGG
Molecule: ribosomal RNA, 404 nt
Filed under: Actinomycetes bacterium
Lineage: Bacteria; Bacillati; Actinomycetota; Actinomycetes
Description: Actinobacteria bacterium partial 16S ribosomal RNA
Rfam family: Bacterial small subunit ribosomal RNA
Source: RNAcentral